RNAcentral lists this ribosomal RNA (1147 nucleotides) under uncultured fungus. RNAcentral describes it as "eukaryotic LSU rRNA". The stretch from base 516 to 1147 matches the Rfam family "Eukaryotic large subunit ribosomal RNA", at positions 1 to 648 of the family's 3401-position model. Lineage: Eukaryota; Fungi. The record is from RNAcentral.
AAGUCGUAACAAGGUUUCCGUAGGUGAACCUGCGGAAGGAUCAUUAACGAGAUCAUGCCCCCCGGGGUAGACCUCCCACCCCCUGUCUACAAUACCCUUGUUGCUUUGGCGGCCCCGUCGCAGGACAACCGGCCCCGGCUGGUCAGCGGCCGCCAGAGGACUCAAAACUCAUAUCAUCUCUGUCGUCUGAGUACUAUACAAUAGUUAAAACUUUCAACAACGGAUCUCUUGGUUCUGGCAUCGAUGAAGAACGCAGCGAAAUGCGAUAAGUAAUGUGAAUUGCAGAAUUCAGUGAAUCAUCGAAUCUUUGAACGCACAUUGCGCCCCCUGGUAUUCCGGGGGGCAUGCCUGUUCGAGCGUCAUUACAACCCUCAAGCUCUGCUUGGUAUUGGGCGUCACCCCCCGGGUGCGCCUCAAAAUCAGUGGCGGUGCCGUCUGGCUUCAAGCGUAGUAAUACUUCUCGCUUUGGAGCCCGGGCGAGCGUCCCGCCAGAACCCCCAUAUUUUUUUUCAGGUUGACCUCGGAUCAGGUAGGGAUACCCGCUGAACUUAAGCAUAUCAAUAAGCGGAGGAAAAGAAACCAACAGGGAUUGCCUCAGUAACGGCGAGUGAAGCGGCAACAGCUCAAAUUUGAAAUCUGGCCCUUCGGGGUCCGAGUUGUAAUUUGUAGAGGAUGUUUCGGGUGUGGCCCCGGUCUAAGUUCCUUGGAACAGGACGUCAUAGAGGGUGAGAAUCCCGUAUGUGACUGGUGGCCUACGCCCAUGUGAAACUCCUUCGACGAGUCGAGUUGUUUGGGAAUGCAGCUCAAAAUGGGUGGUAAAUUUCAUCUAAAGCUAAAUAUUGGCCAGAGACCGAUAGCGCACAAGUAGAGUGAUCGAAAGAUGAAAAGCACUUUGGAAAGAGAGUUAAACAGUACGUGAAAUUGUUGAAAGGGAAGCGCUUGCAACCAGACUUGCACGCGGCCGAUCAACCGGUGUUCUCACCGGUGCACUCGGUCGCGUUCAGGCCAGCAUCGGUUUCGGCGGUUGGAUAAAGGCCCUGGGAAUGUAGCUCCUCUCGGGGAGUGUUAUAGCCCAGGGUGCAAUGCAGCCCGCCGGGACCGAGGACCGCGCUUCGGCUAGGAUGCUGGCGUAAUGGUUGUAAGCGAC